GAUGAGGUCCCCUACAGAACGGUCCACUACCUUCCAGAAUCUUAAGCCACAGGGGAAAUGUACCCCAUAAUGCGUCUGCCUUCAAUAAAACCAAAAACGUCCCCUAAAGCCCGAAACUUUGCCUUCUUCUCUUGCUUUUUAAAUUUUUGGCAACAUUGCUUGUCACGCCUUCCAGUCUUCUUGAGGCAAAUCUUCAGAGAAGCAAAUCCCUUCUUCUUUGCAAACUGGAGAAGUAUUUGUUCUUCUCCAGAUGUCAACUCACUGCUCGUCUCACAAACAGAAUGAUGAUUUGCCGGGUCCACCUUCGACCCACUCUGCGGACGAUGUCGACCUCUUCAUUCAUGUUUGUCGCCAGGUCAGGUGCAAUUUUACACAGAAGCUCCACAGUUUCUGCUCGGAUGUUUUCGGAACUAUCACAGCUGGUGACCAGUUGCUCCACAGUGAGGUUUUAGCUUGGUUGGACCGGUGUCGGAUUUGAACCUGAUAAGCUGUUUUCUUCUGAAGAUUCACAAUGACCAGCUUUUCUGUUUAGAUAAAAUGAAAGAAAUUAUUAUUUGUAACUUUUUGGUCUAUCCAUCCAUUGUCUAUAUCUAUAUCAUCCGUGCAAGCUCGCACCCAUCUCCAUUGGUCAUUAGACAAGAGGCGGGGUACUCCCUGAACAGGUUGCCAGUCCACCACAGGGUAACAAAGAGACACACAGGACAAACAACGUUGUACACACUCAUGCCUACAGGCAAUUUAGAGAGACCAAUUAACCUAAGAGGAACCCGGAGCACCCUGGGAGAACCCACGCAUGCACAGGUAGGACAUGCAAACUCCAUGUUGAAAGAUGCUAGAAUUUGAACCCGAGACCUUAAGCUGCAAAACAACAGUGCUGACCUACAUUACAGUUUCCUCAUUUGCCUUUCAGAUAUCUGAAAUUUACUUGCAGAUUGUUAGUGACAGGAGUGCUCAGCAUAACCAUUACAUUUCAGAUGAAAGACGAAUUACACACCAAAGAUAUAACGGAGGGCUGGAGGACACCUAUUAGUUUCAUUGCUUUUUAUUGUGCAGACAUGCAAGUCUUGAAAAAGAACAAAGCAUGGAAACUCUUGGAGGAUGCUUGUUUCCUUGUUUUAAAAGAAAUCAUAGAAAUGGCAUAAAAGCAUGGCUCUGUACUUAAUUAAUGCUGUAAUUUACAGGUGCCUCUUUUUCAUAUCAAGUUAAAGAUAAAAGAACAUGGCAUUAGUAUUUUUUCAAAUCCUCUGGUUUUGAUGACUGCUUGAAUUGACUUUGCUCAUCAAAAACAAUAUUGUUAAUCAGUCAGAUUCAAAUGGAUCAUAUUUUUACAGUUUUACUUCAAGAGAGACCCUGAAGGUUUGAAUAUCAUGUCUGUUAUAUGAUAUGAUAUAAUAUGAUAUAAUAUCAUGGCUGUUCUGCCUUUCCUGAAAAAAAUGUUUUAUCUUUGUUCGGUGGCAAGAUGGAUUAUAGUGCUAACAAAUGAUUGCAUCAUUAUCAAACCUACUUUCCACUGAUUAUAUAUAAUCUAAAAAGUGUCUAACAUUUUAACAUCCACCUGUGCAUUCACUAGAGAGGUAUUGCUUUCUGGACCUCACAUGCAGGAACAUAUCAUCAAUGAUCACUGAAAUCUGGCUGUCAUCACACUGACAUGUCAGGACAAGAAGGAACAAAGAACCACAACAACAGCUGUGAUGAGCAAGAGUUCUGCUCUUGAUGAUAGGCCAUCAUGUUUGCCUGUGUGAUCAAUUGUUCAAAAAUGAGGUGAAAUUCCUUUGCUUUGUUGUCAUCAACAGAGCCUGCAUCAAUCCUGAAACAGUUUUCCUGAUGCGACCCUGAAACCUUUUUUGUUUCUGAAAGCCAUCAUAAGAAUAACUCAUGUGUAACUUCCAAAGAGACUUAUCAGCUGGGAAAUGGACCACCAUCAGAGACCCCCAGGCCAGUCAUGGAAACAAUGAGCCUAGACUCCGUCGACAAGUAGAGGAAAAGGGUUGGAGACCUAUCCUGCCUACUUGUCAGGAUCUGUGCCUUGUCUGUUUGUUUGGUGCUGUUUACUGUGCUUAGCCUCUAGAUAGCGUGGAACCUGGAGGAGAGGUGACAUGUGUUCUUUAUCCCCCUAAUUACCUGCUGAGGAGUAUUUAAGGAGGAGGCUGCCAGCAACUCACUGCCACAGUGUAGCCCUUAGUGGUACAGCUCAAGCCACAUUACCUUUGUCUUGAACUUGCCUUGUACUUUUGGUAAUUUUGUAUUUGUUACCUUGCAGGUUUACCUGAACCUGACUUUGCCUUCUGCAUUGAACCCUGCCUGGAUUACCAUCUUCUGGAAAGAAGCUAUCCAGCUCCAUGAACAAAGACUCAAGCCUCUUAUUACUUCGUUGGAUCACACCGGCUGGCAGCCUCCUGAUUCCUUCGUUCCUUGGAUCUCCUUCUACGAACCCUGUCCACCCUCCUCCAUCCACUGCACCAACGUCAGAAACUCUUGGAUCUACUAAACAUCCUGGCACACCAGUAUUCACCAUCUCCUGUCUCACGGGUAAACAACCCCUUGGUCUCUCCACCCCCCCUCUGGCGGAUCUCCAUCAAUCCCUUGGUAUCCCGGUUCCAGUUCCCUGCACAUUUCAUUACAUUGUAAAUAAACUCAUUACCGUUAAACUCAGUCUCCUGAAUUGCUUUCUGCAUGUGGGUCAAAUCUGUUCGAAACAUUAUGACACUAUUGGGUGUGAGCCCGAGACCAGGAAAACCAGAGCUGACAUUCCCAUGGGCAUGAAGUGUUAUUUAAUAUGAAAAAAAAAAAUGUGAAAGAGAGACUUUUAAGCAAUCUUUUCAUACAUGGUUUCUUCAUACAAGGUUUUGUUGAAAAUCAGACAAAAUCUUGUAAAUGAAUGGCUCAAUCAAUAGUUCUAAUAAAAUUCCUGAAUA
Girardinichthys multiradiatus is the source of this 2915-nucleotide long non-coding RNA. RefSeq lists it as uncharacterized. The transcript is spliced from 4 exons. NCBI's taxonomy places the organism in Eukaryota, Metazoa, Chordata, Actinopteri, Cyprinodontiformes, Goodeidae. The record is from RefSeq and is a predicted model, not a curated record.